Molecule: ribosomal RNA, 492 nt
Filed under: uncultured bacterium
Lineage: Bacteria
Description: partial 16S ribosomal RNA
Rfam family: Bacterial small subunit ribosomal RNA
Source: RNAcentral
AGUGAACGCUGGCGGUAGGCCUAACACAUGCAAGUCGAACGGCAGCACAGUAAGAGCUUGCUCUUACGGGUGGCGAGUGGCGGACGGGUGAGGAAUACAUCGGAAUCUACUUUUUCGUGGGGGAUAACGUAGGGAAACUUACGCUAAUACCGCAUACGACCUACGGGUGAAAGCAGGGGAUCUUCGGACCUUGCGCGAUUGAAUGAGCCGAUGUCGGAUUAGCUAGUUGGCGGGGUAAAGGCCCACCAAGGCGACGAUCCGUAGCUGGUCUGAGAGGAUGAUCCGCCACACUGGAACUGAGACACGGUCCAGACUCCUACGGGAGGCAGCAGUGGGGAAUACUGGACAAUGGGCGCAAGCCUGAUCCAGCCAUACCGCGUGGGUGAAGAAGGCCUUCGGGUUGUAAAGCCCUUUUGUUGGGAAAGAAAAGCAGCAGGUUAAUACCCCGCUGUUCUGACGGUACCCAAAGAAUAAGCACCGGCUAACUUCGUG